GACGAACGCUGGCGGCGUGCUUAACACAUGCAAGUCGAACGGAAAGGCCCUGCUUUUGUGGGGUGCUCGAGUGGCGAACGGGUGAGUAACACGUGAGUAACCUGCCCUUGACUUUGGGAUAACUUCAGGAAACUGGGGCUAAUACCGGAUAGGAGCUCCUGCUGCAUGGUGGGGGUUGGAAAGUUUCGGCGGUUGGGGAUGGACUCGCGGCUUAUCAGCUUGUUGGUGGGGUAGUGGCUUACCAAGGCUUUGACGGGUAGCCGGCCUGAGAGGGUGACCGGCCACAUUGGGACUGAGAUACGGCCCAGACUCCUACGGGAGGCAGCAGUGGGGAAUAUUGCACAAUGGGCCGAAGCCGGAUGCAGAAACGCCGCGUGCGGGAUGACGGCCUUCGGGUUGUAAACCGCUUUCGCCUGUGACGAAGCGUGAGUGACGGUAAUGGGUAAAGAAGCACCGGCUAACUACGUG
RNAcentral lists this ribosomal RNA (468 nucleotides) under uncultured bacterium. RNAcentral's name for it is "partial 16S ribosomal RNA". It matches the Rfam family "Bacterial small subunit ribosomal RNA", at positions 28 to 507 of the family's 1533-position model. The record is from RNAcentral.